GCCCCCAUCGUCUAGCCAGGCCCAGGACACAUGGUUCUCAGCCAUGAGACAGGGGUUCAAAUCCCCUUGGGGGUACCA
Molecule: transfer RNA, 78 nt
Filed under: Candidatus Scalindua sp.
Lineage: Bacteria; Pseudomonadati; Planctomycetota; Candidatus Brocadiia; Candidatus Brocadiales; Candidatus Scalinduaceae
Also listed under: 1 other name
Description: tRNA-Glu
Rfam family: tRNA
About the family: Transfer RNA (tRNA) molecules are approximately 80 nucleotides in length. Their secondary structure includes four short double-helical elements and three loops (D, anti-codon, and T loops). Further hydrogen bonds mediate the characteristic L-shaped molecular structure. tRNAs have two regions of fundamental functional importance: the anti-codon, which is responsible for specific mRNA codon recognition, and the 3' end, to which the tRNAs corresponding amino acid is attached (by aminoacyl-tRNA synthetases). tRNAs cope with the degeneracy of the genetic code in two manners: having more than one tRNA (with a specific anti-codon) for a particular amino acid; and 'wobble' base-pairing, i.e. permitting non-standard base-pairing at the 3rd anti-codon position.
Source: RNAcentral